Non-coding RNA from Ciona savignyi (Pacific transparent sea squirt), 72 nucleotides. The record is from Rfam. Lineage: Eukaryota; Metazoa; Chordata; Ascidiacea; Phlebobranchia; Cionidae.
GGCGCCAUGGCUUAGUUGUAAAGCGCCUGUCUAGUAAACAGGAGAUCCUGGGUUCGAUCCCCAGUGGUGCCU